This 377-nucleotide unclassified non-coding RNA is filed under the name uncultured bacterium. RNAcentral's name for it is "contains 16S-23S intergenic spacer region". The record is from RNAcentral.
UCCCCGAUUUCCGGGGCAGUCUCCGAUGAGUCCCCGGCAUUACCCGCUGGCAACAUCGGACAGGGGUUGCGCUCGUUGCGCCACUUAAGGCAACACCUCACGGCACGAGCUGACGACAGCCAUGCAGCACCUGUGCAGGCUCCCGAAGGAGCGCCGUGUUUCCACGGCUUUACCCUGCAUGUCAAGCCCUGGUAAGGUUCUUCGCGUUGCGUCGAAUUAAACCACAUGCUCCACCGCUUGUGCGGGCCCCCGUCAAUUCCUUUGAGUUUCAGCCUUGCGGCCGUACUCCCCAGGCGGGAGACUUAACGCGUUAGCUCCGACACCGAAGGGCUCGAUCCCCCCGGCAUCUAGUCUCCAUCGUUUACGGCGUGGACUAC